RNAcentral lists this unclassified non-coding RNA (190 nucleotides) under uncultured Glomerales. Its description in RNAcentral is "sequence contains ITS2". Lineage: Eukaryota; Fungi; Glomeromycota; Glomeromycetes; Glomerales; Glomeraceae. The record is from RNAcentral.
UUAAAUAAAAAUCGGUGUUGUCGCUGCCUUUCGUGGUGACGCGUCGGAAUUGAGUCGUCUUAUCUUCGGCUAAGUAACUUAAAAUUUUUAUGAUUUUUGAACGUAUUUAAAUUGCUUACGUACGUUUGAGAUAUCAAAUGUUUUUAUUAGGUUUGGUCAUCCUCAUGAUUCGCGCCUAUAAUUUUUCAUU